Eriocheir sinensis (Chinese mitten crab) is the source of this 1438-nucleotide long non-coding RNA. RefSeq lists it as uncharacterized. NCBI's taxonomy places the organism in Eukaryota, Metazoa, Arthropoda, Malacostraca, Decapoda, Varunidae. The transcript is spliced from 4 exons. The record is from RefSeq and is a predicted model, not a curated record.
CCGCCCACCACGGCUAACGACCCCCUCCUGCCCGGGUUUGUGGUCAGAGUUGUCCUUCUCCUAGGUGAACAUCCUCGCGGCUAACGAUCUCCACCUUCCCGGGUUUGUGAUCAGAGUUGUCCUUCUCCUAGGUGAACUGCUUACGCUAACGAGCUCCACCAGCCCGGGUUUGUAAUCGGAGUUUGCUCUCCUAGAUGAACUGCUUACGCUAACGAGCUCCACCAGCCCGGGUUUGUAAUCGGAGUUUGCUCUCCUAGGUGAACUGCUUACGCUAACGAGCUCCACCUGCCCGGGUUUGUAAUCGGAGUUUGCUCUCCUAGGUGAAUUGCUUACGCUAACGAGCUCCACCUGCCCGGGUUUGUAAUCGGAGUUGUCCCUCUCCUAGGUGAAUUGCCUACCACGGCUAACGACCUCCACCUGCCCGUGUUUAUUGUUCGGAGUUGUCCCUCUCCUAGGUGAACUGCCUACCACGGCUAACGACCUCCACCUGCCCGUGUUUAUUGUUCGGAGUUUGCUCUCCUAGGUGAACUGCCUACCACGGCUAACGAGCUCCACCUGCCCGGGUUUGUAAUCGGAGUUUGCUCUCCUAGGUGAACUGCUCACGCUAACGAGCUCCACCAGCCCGGGUUUGUUGUUCGGAGUUUGCUCUCCUAGGUGAACUGCUUACGCUAACGAGCUCCACCUGCCCGGGUUUAUAUUCGGAGUUUGCUCUCCUAGGUGAACUGCUCACGCUAACGAGCUCCACCUGCCCGGGUUUGUUGUUCGGAGUUUGCUCUCCUAGGUGAACUGCUUACGCUAACGAGCUCCACCUGCCCGGGUUUAUAUUCGGAGUUUGCUCUCCUAGGUGAACUGCUCACGCUAACGAGCUCCACCUGCCCGGGUUUAUAUUCGGAGUUUGCUCUCCUAGGUGAACUGCUUACGCUAACGAGCUCCAUCUGCCCGGGUUUGUUGUUCGGAGUUUGCUCUCCUAGGUGAACUGCUUACGCUAACGAGCUCCAUCUGCCCGGGUUUGUUGUUCGGAGUUUGCUCUCCUAGGUGAAUUGCUUACGCUAACGAGCUCCACCUGCCCGGGUUUGUUGUUCGGAGUUUGCUCUCCUAGGUGAACUGCUUACGCUAACGAGCUCCACCUGCCCGGGUUUGUUGUUCGGAGUUUGCUCUCCUAGGUGAACUGCUCACGCUAACGAGCUCCACCUGCCCGGGUUUGUUGUUCGGAGUUUGCUCUCCUAGGUGAACUGCUUACGCUAACGAGCUCCACCUGCCCGGGUUUGUUGUUCGGAGUUUGCUCUCCUAGGUGAACUGCUCACGCUAACGAGCUCCACCUGCCCGGGUUUGUUGUUCGGAGUUUGCUCUCCUAGGUGAACUGCUCACGCUAACGAGCUCCACCUGCCCGGGUUUGUUGUUCGGAGUUUGCUCUCCUAGGUGAACUGCUCACGCUAAC